RNAcentral lists this ribosomal RNA (390 nucleotides) under Triticum aestivum (bread wheat). RNAcentral's name for it is "partial small subunit ribosomal RNA". Lineage: Eukaryota; Viridiplantae; Streptophyta; Magnoliopsida; Poales; Poaceae. The record is from RNAcentral.
AUGUUCUUGUUUCGAGCUGGCAUCAUGUCGUCUCCCUCCUCCUCCAACAAUGAGGACAACGAUGCUUGGCUAAUGAAGAUAGAGCUGAAGAGACAAGAGCCUGGAAAGAUCCACAAGGAUGACGGGAUCAAGAAGGCCACGGAGGACCAAGUUCCAGCAGCAGAAGACAUCCUUCAACUUGAUCACGAUCUUCUUACCCCAAAUAAGAUUGAAGCUUUCAAGAUGAUUGAGUUAGCUCGUAUACAAAACAAAUAUCUCACACGUGAAAAUAUUUUGUUGAAGGAGCAUAUCAUCGCACUCAAGGGCAUUAUCCGCAAGUUGGAGGACCUCCUACGCUCGAUGUGCGACUAUCCAUCACCACCAACACCCUCGUCACCAACAAAGAAGUAA